UUCUUGGUCAUUUAGAGGAAGUAAAAGUCGUAACAAGGUUUCCGUAGGUGAACCUGCGGAAGGAUCAUUAACGAAAUGUCAAAUGUUUGGGAUUUGUGGGGUUGUUGCUGGCCUCUUCACGCGGAGAGGUAUGUGCACGCCUUUGACCUGAGCGUUUCAGUCCUUUCUUCACACCUUGUGCACCUCAUGUAGCCGGGGAUGAUCACGAAGCCUCUCGGUUUCGAAAGCCCCGGCUAUGAAGUCGUCUACACGCGCGCCUUGUAAAGUCUUAUUAGAACGCUUGUAUCCGCGUCUGACGCGAAUUGAAUACAACUUUCAGCAACGGAUCUCUUGGCUCUCGCAUCGAUGAAGAACGCAGCGAAAUGCGAUAAGUAAUGUGAAUUGCAGAAUUCAGUGAAUCAUCGAAUCUUUGAACGCACCUUGCGCUCCUUGGUAUUCCGAGGAGCAUGCCUGUUUGAGUGUCUUGAAAUUCUCGACUGCCUCUCGGGGUGAAGUCGGAUUUGAAGCGUGUUUUUGCCAGGUUUUGGCUGCUUCUAAAAGCAUUCGAGUUCAUAUCUCCAUGCAAAGUACCUUUGACGUGAUAAUCAAUCUACGUCGCGGAGAAAAGCUUAGAGAAGGGCUUGUGAAUGUGUUUUGGUGUUGACCUUUUUGACCUCAAAUCAGGCAGGACUACCCGCUGAACUUAAGCAUAUCAAUAAGCGGAGGAAA
The sequence is a ribosomal RNA, 708 nucleotides long. The stretch from base 311 to 464 matches the Rfam family "5.8S ribosomal RNA".